CGCGCACACAGGGAGCUCGCUCCCCAACCAAGCUGCGUGGAAAGUCCCCGUGCCCACAGGCAGCGAGUGCCAGCAGGAGAUUGCCGGG
RNAcentral lists this non-coding RNA (88 nucleotides) under Alexandrium andersonii. The record is from RNAcentral. Lineage: Eukaryota; Dinophyceae; Gonyaulacales; Pyrocystaceae.